CCUACGGGUGGCAGCAGUGGGGAAUAUUGCACAAUGGGGGAAACCCUGAUGCAGCGACGCCGCGUGAGUGAAGAAGUAUUUCGGUAUGUAAAGCUCUAUCAGCAGGGAAGAAAAUGACGGUACCUGAUUUAGAAGCCCCGGCUAACUACGUGCCAGUAGCCGCGGUAAUACGUAGGGGGCAAGCGUUAUCCGGAUUUACUGGGUGUAAAGGGGGCGUCGACGGGAGGACAAGUCUGGAGUGAAAUGCCGGGGCUUAACCCCGGAACUGCUUUGGAAACUGUGCAGCCAGAGUGCAGGAGAGGUAAGUGGAAUUCCUAGUGUAGCGGGGAAAUGCGUAGAUAUUAGGAGGAACACCAGUGGCGAAGGCGGCUUACUGGACUGUAACUGACGUUGAGGCUCGAAAGCGUGGGGAGCAAACAGGAUUAGAUACCCCGGUAGUC
RNAcentral lists this ribosomal RNA (440 nucleotides) under uncultured bacterium. RNAcentral's name for it is "partial 16S ribosomal RNA". It matches the Rfam family "Bacterial small subunit ribosomal RNA", at positions 338 to 795 of the family's 1533-position model. The record is from RNAcentral.